This 468-nucleotide ribosomal RNA is filed under the name uncultured bacterium. RNAcentral's name for it is "partial 16S ribosomal RNA". It matches the Rfam family "Bacterial small subunit ribosomal RNA", at positions 28 to 507 of the family's 1533-position model. The record is from RNAcentral.
GACGAACGCUGGCGGCGUGCUUAACACAUGCAAGUCGAACGGAAAGGCCCUGCUUUUGUGGGGUGCUCGAGUGGCGAACGGGUGAGUAACACGUGAGUAACCUGCCCUUCACUUUGGGAUAACUUCAGGAAACUGGGGCUAAUACCGGAUAGGAGCUCCUGCUGCAUGGUGGGGGUUGGAAAGUUUCGGCGGUUGGGGUUGGACUCGCGGCUUAUCAGCUUGUUGGUGGGGUAGUGGCUUACCAAGGCUUUGACGGGUAGCCGGCCUGAGAGGGUGACCGGCCACAUUGGGACUGAGAUACGGCCCAGACUCCUACGGGAGGCAGCAGUGGGGAAUAUUGCACAAUGGGCGGAAGCCUGAUGCAGCAACGCCGCGUGCGGGAUGACGGCCUUCGGGUUGUAAACCGCUUUCGCCUGUGACGAAGCGUGAGUGACGGUAAUGGGUAAAGAAGCACCGGCUAACUACGUG